Molecule: long non-coding RNA, 633 nt
Organism: Cavia porcellus (domestic guinea pig)
Lineage: Eukaryota; Metazoa; Chordata; Mammalia; Rodentia; Caviidae
Exons: 3
Source: RefSeq, a predicted model, not a curated record
GUCUUUAUGUUCCCGCUGAUCACCUCCUUGGGAGGCGGCAGUGGUGCUGCGAGUGGGGAAAGGCACGGACAGCUGAGUCCUGGGGAACGGGGUCCAGAGAGCGGAAGCAGAGGAGAACGAGACUUCCGGUGCUCCCGCCGCGCUAGAGUGACGGGCCGCGGCGCCGCAGCGCCCCCUGCGGAAGGCGGUGGGAACGCCGGGUGAGCGCGCCACGGGCCGCUGUGACAGGUUACUUGUCGGGGACCGCAGACGCCUCGCGUCCGAGCCAUCUCACCUUGCCAUCACACCUGAACUUGCCCGUGAUGACCUUGGGAUAACCCCACGCUCCUGCGCAUGCGUGCCAGGAAGACCCAGGAAGACCGAUUACGCAUGCGUGAACUGCUGCCCCGCCCACCCAAGUCCCAGAGCCCGUCAAUCACAGCCCCUCACCACCUCCCCGUACUGGGACAGAACGCGGGGCCUUCGGGGCGACUUCCAUUCCAGCCCUUGCUAUGAAAUAUUUGAGACGGUUUCCGUGAAUUGCACAGUUGCAUUGGCUGGAUAUGGACUUGUGAUCUCCGGCCUCAGCCUCCCCAGUGCUGGGAUCACAGGUGUGCGCCUCACACCUGACUUAAAGCUGCAAUUUUAAAUUUU